GGCGGUAUGGUGUAAGGAUACACGCGGGAUUUUCUUGGGUGUUCUAAACGAAGUGUAAUUCCCGAAGUCCUUGUUCGAAUCAAGGUACUGCUC
Mycena leptocephala is the source of this 93-nucleotide non-coding RNA. Lineage: Eukaryota; Fungi; Basidiomycota; Agaricomycetes; Agaricales; Mycenaceae. The record is from the annotation of a GenBank genome assembly.